CUGCCAUCCCCGAAUCCCAAGAUUGACAAGCCAUGUCUUUGUUUUGGAAAGAAUCCAGAUGCUUUUGGUGGUGGGAGGGGCAGAAGUUGCAGCAUAUAGAGGGUGCCAUGCAUUGAGUGGCUUCUGGCUGCGUCAGCACAAGGAGUUAGGGGUCACUACAACCAUAAGGAGAAUAGCCAACUGUUACUGAGAGUUCACUAUGUGCCAGACACCAUGCUGCUGAAAAAUGUCUUCUAGCCUGAGUACUCUCUGUCUAGAUGAAGAAGAAACAAUAGCAGUUAGUAUGGGAUCACUUUAGGACUCCCUUGGUUGGAGAAGCAAUGCAAUGGCCUCCAUAAUAAGUCUCUUCUGAA
Long non-coding RNA from Zalophus californianus (California sea lion), 353 nucleotides. RefSeq lists it as uncharacterized. The record is from RefSeq and is a predicted model, not a curated record. The transcript has 3 exons. Lineage: Eukaryota; Metazoa; Chordata; Mammalia; Carnivora; Otariidae.